Molecule: ribosomal RNA, 483 nt
Filed under: uncultured bacterium
Lineage: Bacteria
Description: partial 16S ribosomal RNA
Rfam family: Bacterial small subunit ribosomal RNA
Source: RNAcentral
ACUCAAAUGAAUUGACGGGGGCCCGCACAAGCAGCGGAGCGUGUGGUUUAAUUCGAGGCUACACGAAGAACCUUACCUGGACUGGACAUAACGGUAGUAGAACCUGGAAACAGGGACGACCUUCGGGAGCCGUUACUGGUGCUGCAUGGCUGUCGUCAGCUCGUGCCGUGAGGUGUUAGGUUAAGUCCUGUAACGAGCGCAACCCCCGGUGCCAGUUAAAUCGUCUGGCGCGACUGCCCGUGACAAACGGGAGGAAGGCGGGGAUGACGUCAAGUCAGCAUGGCCUGUAUGUCCAGGGCUACACACACGCUACAAUGGUCGGUACAAUGGGUCGCCAAGUCGCAAGACGGAGCUAAUCCACCAAAGCCGGCCUCAGUUCAGAUUGUGGGCUGCAACCCGCCCACAUGAAGUCGGAGUUGCUAGUAACCGCGCGUCAGCCAUAGUGCGGUGAAUACGUUCCCGGGCCUUGUACACACCGCCCGU